Molecule: RNA transcript, 1951 nt
Organism: Carya illinoinensis
Lineage: Eukaryota; Viridiplantae; Streptophyta; Magnoliopsida; Fagales; Juglandaceae
Gene name: pyrrolidone-carboxylate peptidase-like
Exons: 7
Source: RefSeq, a predicted model, not a curated record
AAUCUUUACCAGUUAAUCAUCUAUGAGCAGAUAAGACUGGUGGUUGAGUCCAUUAUUUUUUUUUACCUCUCUUUUGUGGAGUUUAAAGGGGUAAGGGUGAAGAUCGUUUCGUUCCUUAUUGUAGAAUUUUUCGUAGCCAACUUACUACAGAUUUUAUUUCCUGGCUUUAUUUCUUGAGCUCGGCAGGUACUCAGAUACUACUUCUCAUUUUGACGCUAUAACGUGUUUUUAAUUAUAUCUCAAUAAUUGGUAAAUGGGGUCCGAUGGGCCUCCUGCAGUAACAAUUCAUGUGACGGGUUUUAAGAAAUUCCAUGGAGUUUCAGAGAAUCCAACUGAGACAAUUGUUAGUAAUCUCAAAGAGUAUGUGAUGAAGAAGGGACUGCCGAAAGGUCUAAUUCUUGGGAGUUGUAGCAUUCUUGAGACUGCUGGACAAGGAGCUCUUUCUGCCUUAUACCAGACGUUGCAAUCUGCCAUUAGUGGGGUGGAUUCUGAAUCUUCAAAUUCUGGAAGAACUAUUUGGGUACACUUUGGAGUUAAUAGUGGUGCAACAAGGUUUGCCAUUGAGCAACAAGCUGUCAAUGAAGCUACUUUUCGCUGUCCCGAUGAGCUGGGAUGGAAGCCCCAGAAAGCUCCCAUCAUUCCUGCAGAUGGUGGAAUUUCACACACGCGACAGACCUCUCUUCCAGUUAAGGAGAUUACCAAGGCAUUGGCAAAGAUGGAUUAUGAAGUGAUGACCUCAGAUGAUGCAGGACGAUUUGUAUGCAAUUAUGUUUAUUAUCAUUCACUUCAAUUUGCAGAGCAGAAAGGGACCAAAUCGCUCUUUGUGCAUGUGCCCCUCUUCUUGACCAUAGACAAGGAGACCCAAAUGCGGUUUGCUGCCUCAUUGUUGGAGGUGUCAAAGUCACUGGAAUAGUUAGUGGUGGCUAGUGGCGCCGUGUGUUAUCACUAUCACCGUCUGUGGUGAUUUGUGAUGAUGAGUGGUGGUUGUUCUCUUCAGCGUUGGCGGCAGGGAGCUGAGAAAGCCUUUUGUAGCGUGUUUCUGGUGACCUCAGGUGUCAAAGUCAUCAAAACACAACUUGCCGGUGUUUUCUGUGCAUGCUGGUCUCAACAAACCCAAUUCUCGAUAGGGUAUGCCCCUAACAUGGAAUAGGAACUUAUUCAUAUCUAGAAUAAGACCCGUAUGGUAAUGCAUAUAAGGUAAACCAGCUUGUCUUAUUCUCGUUUAGGAUAGCUUAUUCCAGUUUUAAGUCAGCUGUGAAACCGGUAUAAACUGGUACCCAAAACUUUUCGAAACAGGUCGGUUCAAGCUCGAAAUAGGGUAGUUUAGGCACGAUAUUUGUUUAUUUUGACCGGUACAGGCUAGUUCCACUUGAUACAGGCCCGAAAUUUGGGGUUUUAAUCUAGAUUUCUACUUUUUUAGAUUAUAUUUUCUAGUUUUUCAUCCAUAUUUCAUGUUUUUGUAUGAAAUCUUUGUUUCCAAGUGAAUUGUUGUGAUACUUUUCUUCAUGGCAACUAAAUUGGAGUAACUGUCUCUUGCACCAAAUAUCAGUAUGCUUAUGACUUCGGAGAAGUUGAAUGGAAAAAAUUAUAUGUUGUGGUCAAAAUCUGUUGAAAUGUUUUUGAAAGGCAAUGGUCUUUGUUGUACUCACUUGGUUGAUCUAAUGCCUAUCUCGACUAGUUCUGCUUUUCCUCAAUGGGAGGAAACAAAUGUUCAAAUAUUGUCUCUAAUGUUUAUUAGUAUUGAGCCUAAUAUUUGCACAAGUUUAAUACAUUUUGACAUUGCUCAAGAAGUGUGGAGACAUCUCAAACAAAUGUAUUCGGGUGCUAGAAACAUAACCCGUAUUUAUGAGUUGUGUAAACAAUUUUUUAUGUUGGAACAGACUGCUUUGGGCCUGUAAGAAUAUUAUUCUCUAGUGAUGAGCAUAUAUGAAGAAUUCAAAAUGUAGCAAUC